UGGGAACUACCUAGUAGUACGGAAUAACACAGAGAAAUUUGUGCUAAUACCGUAUACGCCCUUUUGGGGAAAGAUUUAUCGCUAUUAGAUGGGCCCGCGUUGGAUUAGCUAGUUGGUGGGGUAAUGGCCUACCAAGGCGACGAUCUAUAGCUGGUCUGAGAGGAUGAUCAGCCACACUGGGACUGAGACACGGCCCAGACUCCUACGGGAGGCAGCAGUGGGGAAUAUUGGACAAUGGGGGCAACCCUGAUCCAGCCAUGCCGCGUGAGUGAUGAAGGCCCUAGGGUUGUAAAGCUCUUUCAACGGUGAAGAUAAUGACGGUAACCGUAGAAGAAGCCCCGGCUAACUUCGUGCCAGCAGCCGCGGUAAUACGAAGGGGGCUAGCGUUGUUCGGAAUUACUGGGCGUAAAGCGUACGUAGGCGGACUGAUCAGUCAGGGGUGAAAUCCCGGGGCUCAACCCCGAACUGCCUUUGAUACUGUCAGUCUUGAGUUCG
RNAcentral lists this ribosomal RNA (495 nucleotides) under uncultured bacterium. RNAcentral's name for it is "bacterial SSU rRNA". It matches the Rfam family "Bacterial small subunit ribosomal RNA", at positions 118 to 650 of the family's 1533-position model. The record is from RNAcentral.